This 574-nucleotide ribosomal RNA is filed under the name Fusarium proliferatum. RNAcentral's name for it is "eukaryotic LSU rRNA". The stretch from base 205 to 358 matches the Rfam family "5.8S ribosomal RNA". Lineage: Eukaryota; Fungi; Ascomycota; Sordariomycetes; Hypocreales; Nectriaceae. The record is from RNAcentral.
UGGAAGUAAAAAGUCGUAACAAGGUCUCCGUUGGUGAACCAGCGGAGGGAUCAUUACCGAGUUUACAACUCCCAAACCCCUGUGAACAUACCAAUUGUUGCCUCGGCGGAUCAGCCCGCUCCCGGUAAAACGGGACGGCCCGCCAGAGGACCCCUAAACUCUGUUUCUAUAUGUAACUUCUGAGUAAAACCAUAAAUAAAUCAAAACUUUCAACAACGGAUCUCUUGGUUCUGGCAUCGAUGAAGAACGCAGCAAAAUGCGAUAAGUAAUGUGAAUUGCAGAAUUCAGUGAAUCAUCGAAUCUUUGAACGCACAUUGCGCCCGCCAGUAUUCUGGCGGGCAUGCCUGUUCGAGCGUCAUUUCAACCCUCAAGCCCAGCUUGGUGUUGGGACUCGCGAGUCAAAUCGCGUUCCCCAAAUUGAUUGGCGGUCACGUCGAGCUUCCAUAGCGUAGUAGUAAAACCCUCGUUACUGGUAAUCGUCGCGGCCACGCCGUUAAACCCCAACUUCUGAAUGUUGACCUCGGAUCAGGUAGGAAUACCCGCUGAACUUAAGCAUAUCAAUAGNCCGGAGGAA